GAUGAACGCUGGCGGCGUGCCUAAUACAUGCAAGUCGAGCGAACAGACGAGGAGCUUGUUCCUCUGACGUUAGCGGCGGACGGGUGAGAAACACGUGGAUAACCUACCUAUAAGACUGGGAUAACUUCGAGAAACCGGAGCUAAUACCGGAGAAUAUAUUGAACCGCAUGGUUCAAUAGUAAAAGACGGUGUUGCUGUCACUUAUAGAUGGAUACGCGCCGCAUUGGCUGGUUGGUAAGGUAAAGGACUACUAAGGCAAGUAGGCGUAGCCGACCUGUCAGGGGGAUCGGCCACACUGGAAAUGGAACGCGGUCCAUGCUCCUACGGUACGCACCAGUAGGGUACGUUCCGCAAUGGGCGAGAGCCUGACGCAGCAACGGCGCGUGAGAGGUGAAGGUCUUCGGAUCGUAAAACUCUGUUAUUAGUGAAGAACAAAUGUGUAAGUAACUAUGCACGUCUUGACGGUACCGGAUCAGAAAGCCACGGCUAACUACGUG
Molecule: ribosomal RNA, 497 nt
Filed under: uncultured bacterium
Lineage: Bacteria
Description: partial 16S ribosomal RNA
Rfam family: Bacterial small subunit ribosomal RNA
Source: RNAcentral